This 253-nucleotide ribosomal RNA is filed under the name uncultured bacterium. RNAcentral's name for it is "partial 16S ribosomal RNA". It matches the Rfam family "Bacterial small subunit ribosomal RNA", at positions 524 to 776 of the family's 1533-position model. The record is from RNAcentral.
AACGUAGGAGGCGAGCGUUAUCCGGAGUUACUGGGCGUAAAGCGCGUGUAGGUGGCUUGUUACGUCUGCUGUGAAAGCUCCCGGCUUAACCGGGACUAGGCGGUAGAUACGGGCAAGCUAGAGGGUGACAGAGGAGCGUAGAAUUCCGGGUGUAGUGGUGAAAUUCGUAGAUAUUCGCAAGAACACCAGUGGCGAAGGCGGCUCACUGGCCCGGUACUGACGCUGAGGUGCGAAAGCGUGGGGAGCAAACAGG